Molecule: long non-coding RNA, 6816 nt
Filed under: Hermetia illucens (black soldier fly)
Lineage: Eukaryota; Metazoa; Arthropoda; Insecta; Diptera; Stratiomyidae
Description: uncharacterized LOC119656237
Source: RNAcentral
UGUCAUUAAGAAAUUUCUCAGAAACUGAGAAACUUUAGGCCUGCUUACCUUCUAAUAAACUUGGAAAAAAGUUUUGAGAAAGAAUGGUAAUUCACUGUGUCACUGUGACCUCAAAAAUAUUACUCCUAUCACCAAUUUGGAUUUUAGUUCAGGCAUAAAACACAGCAUGCUCUCAGCUUCCUCUACAGCACCGAGAACAACCGACUUAACGUCAACAAUAAACCAACGGUGGAAAUGAACAUUAAAUUUAAAAAAGGCUUUCGACUCUAUAUGGGUGAACGGACUUAUCUAUAAAUUAACAGAAAACAAGAUUUGCAUCCCAAUGAUUAACAAUAAGUUUCUUAAAAGUUAGGAAAUUCUUUGUCAGCGUGAAAAAUGAAACUUCCGCAAGGAUCUGUUUCCGGUCAUAUAUAACAUUUUCACGGCUAGCGUCCCGAACCCUGACAUCGGCACCCAUCUGAUCAAAUUUACCGAUGAUCUUGCUCGGGACUUUUCCUUAGAACCUCAAUCCCAACUAUGCAGCUAGAUCCACCGAGAAAUAUUUGGUUGACCUCUGCUACCACAUCAAGAUACUUUGCCUUUAGAUCCAUCCACAAGGAAGCUAACAGCUUCAAACUCAAAAUUGGGAACACCAUGUUGAACCGAUCAAAAUGGAUCAAAUACUUUGGAAUUAAACUAAAUAAACUCCUAAAAUUCAAUCACCACCUUGAGCUCGCAAAUAAGGCACACGAUGUACUAUCUUUUUCAAAAGAAAAUAGGUCUUAGCACCGAAACCUAACUGAUCCUCUACAAAUCCCUCAUACAACCACUUAUACAAUAUAUUAUAUUAUAUAUAUGAGAGCCCCCUACGUGGAUCACAUGCUCAACGAAAGCUAUGGUCGUCAAAUCACAUUUCAUUAUGUACACCCUAACCAGGGCCGUAGAAAGAAAAUCCGGGGUAAAAAUUAUCUGAAUCUGGGGUGAAAAUUAUACGGGCCCCUGGUUUUCAUAAAAAUGUGUGUAUCAGCCCCCCAACAAAAUUCCGGGCUCUGAGGGAAUCCCCCUUUCCACCCCCUCUCGUCAGGCCCGACCAUAACUGCAGCAGAUCAAACGCAACAGUCUCGUCUCCUUCGCUGCGAAGCGACAUUCGUUAUCUGUAAUAGCAGCCUAGCACUUAGAACCGUACAGGGCGACCGACGCUGCGAUGAAUUUUGGAUUUAAGGUGCAUGUAGAUUUUGCAAUGUGAACCUGUCAUCUGUGGCACUCAACCUACGAGGGUUUAUUAUAAACAAGCGUUAUGGCAAACAUUGAAUAAUAAGAGAACGUCAUUAAAUAUAUAUUUUAUAGUUUUUCAUGUUAUCUAUGUUAUCUUCUAUAGAAAAAAAUUUAUAGCUUCAUGGAAAAUUAAUCACAGCAAAACAGAUAUGUUUGAAUCGAAUGGAAGAUACAAGUAAAAACUAUAAAUAAAUAAAAAACGAAAAAAGGUAAAAUAGGAAAGGAAAGUAAGAUACAAUUUUACCCAGCCAUGCUUUCUACAAAAGUAGAAUGUGGACUGUAAUCAGUAUAUUGGAGAUCAUCCAAUGAAUGCAUAUCUCACCGCUGCGAUAAAACUAAAGAACAUUGCAAUAGUCCCGGUCUAGAAAUAAAAAUUUGGUGAAAGUUGGGUUUAUCCCUUGAUAUAUAUACGAUGAUCAAAAGGUUAAAAUCAGAGCAACUGGUUCUAUGAUAAUUAUAAGCUAGCAAUGAAAACAACUGAAGACCACGGACAAAUACUGCUCCAUCAGCAGAGAUGGAACCGUCCAUGCCAUUCGUCCCUUCAUGAUCAUGAAGCGUCGAGAGUCGAUACCGAAUUGGACCAAUAUGGAGGUGACCAAUUACAUCAAGCAAUUCCACAGCUUAUGCUUCAGGUUUGGACAGCGAAUUAAUGCCUCAUGAUUGGCAACGGGGCAUCAUCUGUUCCGUAGAGAAAAAGGGGUGCGCUUCAUUCGCUAGAAGCUUCAAGGGAGUCACUCCCGUAGUGUUACACACUGCCUCAUCCAAUAUUGUCCUACAUCCGCUGCACAGCUUAAGCGCAAUUGACCGUCAUGUCGAACUCACCCUUCUCCGGUUCACCAUGCUAUCUAGUACCCCCCGGUCAGACAGGAAGCACUGCUAUACGUGAUGGAUCACACUACCCCUACAGCAACCUUCAAUUUUAGGUAGUACUUUUUCUAGAGAUGAACUAGCCUUUGCUGCAUUGCUAAAGUUGGCGUCGAUCAUUACCUCCAAGUAUUUAUUAAACGUUUUUGAAACGACUUUAUGGGUUGCUACCCCGGUUUUCAACAGUAUUGCUUUCCCUGCGACUUUUAAUGAGGAACCCCUCCUUCUUUUCAUCGACCAGAUACCAUUCAUAACCAUGUUUUGACGGAUUGAAUGAUUUCAUUUGCAUAGAGUUCAUGUCCUCGGGAUUCUUCGCAAUUACAAUCACCACCAAGUUGUCUGCAAAAUGCACAAACUUUGGCUCGCGAAGGCCAAAGACGCUGUCGUACAUUAUGUUCCACAGCUGGAGUUCCAAUACACAGCCGUUUGGAACACCUGCCAUCACAACCUAUUCUUUCGGAACGUGAUCCGUCUCGUUCCAAAGAAGUCUCUCCCAAAUGUAACUCUCGAUUAUCCGAGCUAAGUAACCAGGGACACCCAGUUUAGCCAAGGUGCUCUUAACACAAACCCAGUUGGCCGAAAUAAAGGUCACAACCGCGCAACACUUAUCAAUAGCCGACGAUUCCCAAGUCAAAUAGAUCCACGACCAUGAACAUCACAUCGAUCCUAGAAUGGGCCCGUAAAAACCCAUGUUAGCAGGUAGCCUAUCGUAUGCAAACUUCUCCAAUAUCUUUCCCAUUGUGUCAAGAAGACGUAUAGGGCGACAUCAAGGGGGUGCGCCAGACGAUUUUUGGGCCGGCUCCAAGGGUGGAACAAGAUACAAAACCGGGAUGUAUGGGGUUCUUUACUAAGGUUGACCUAGAUCGGAUAACAAAUAAUGUUGAUAUUUCCUGGGAAUUGGAACUUAAAAAUAUAUUCAAAGUACUCCUUGCUUGUGUCCCGAUGACUUAAUGGUCAGAGCACUAGGUUAUCGCAAUGGAGGGUCGCGGUUCAGAUAUGGAAGUCGGAUACUAGUCAACUCAGAUGUGAAUAGUCACAGUAAAAUGAAGAUAAUAUCGACAGUUUUUAUUAUUCCGUUUGUUAUGAGAGGUGAGUAAAAAGGAUAGAAACUGCAACUGAAAAGUCAGCAACCCCUCAGAUACGGACAAACCUCACAGAUACGACCUUUGAUUAUUGAAAACUGAUAACUAAUUUCUAAAAUGGACAUACAACUGUAUCGAGGACUGCCAUAAUGCCCCCUUUCUCCAAUUGGGGCAAGAAUUUCGGCGAUAUCAGGGGAUCCAAGUGAAAUAAGAUGGUGACCCUCUCCUUCUCACGCGAUCAGCAGUAAAUUUAGGGUUUAUCUUCUGAAUGUGAGUAAUACAAGAUUGAAAUCGGCCUCGAAACCAUCAUUUUUUCCCCUUUUAGUACUGAUGAAGUCGACUUGUUAACACUGAUCAAGGGAACAAAUGGUUCCCGAAAUAUCGGUGUUUGCAACCAUAACAAAUAUCACUAGCGAAUAGAAAAAUACAAAUCUUACUUAUUUCAAACAAGGUUUUCAGUCUUGCGGAGCAUUGCACUCUGCUUUAAUAGGCAAAGCGUUGAAGGCAUUAAUUAAUUUAUAUAUCUCGAUAGCGUUGUCCCUGGAGACGGCAUUUUCGCUAUUUUGCCCGAAGUUUAGAAAUGCAAUUAUCUGAAUACCAAGAUCAAGUUUUAUUCGUUUCUCGUCAGUGUUUUCUCUGCCUUACUUUAUGGGAAUAGAGGUGAGGCAGCGUCUGCCGAUUUGCCUCUGGCCUGGUAAGAAACCAUAAAGCCGUCAUCGCCUAAUAUUUUUAAAGUUUGGGUGCUAAGCCCUAAACGAGGGGUCCGUGGACCAAAAAAAGGAAGAAUUAAGUUGCCCCCCAUUUGGUCCGAUGUGGCAUCAAGUGGAUGCGGACUUAGAACCCCGCAAUUCUUAAAAAAAGAGCUUCAGGAUUUGCAUUUUAUUAAACUUCAUCCCACAAUCGAAGUCCUCUUUAUGAGUGUUGGAUUUCGUAGAUGAAACUGAAAAAUACGCAAAAUUGCCGGAAAUGGGAAAUUUUGGUGAAAAAUUCAAUCACCUUCUUUUUCAUUAUAUUCGAUGGAUCCUUAUUCUCGAUAAAACAAUUAAGGUUAUAUGGUUGCUAUUCACCAUUCUGGAGUAUAGCGCGUCAACCAGAUCUACGCGUCAUCGUUCGCGGUGCGCUGAAAUGCACUUUAGCCCCCGCCACAACUUCCCGAGAUGCCCGCACUCCUCCUUUACUGUUCUACGCCAAGUGCUCUUGGGGCGAUCCACUCAUCGUCCAUCCCAGGAGAGCAAGUUGCACUAUAUGGUGUAGCCAGCAAUGGAAUUAUCGCCCGUCCAUAAUGGGCGACCUAUCCAUGUGAUAAGCCUGUGCGUCAACCAAAUUGUUUGCUUGAAAUAGUAUGAGGCCAGCGUACUCCGAUAAUAGGACACAAACAGGUAUUGAUGAAAGUUUGGAGCCUUCGAGUAACUGAGGAGUGACUUUUUAUCUGCUAUUCUAUUGCUAAAUGAACGCUGACACAGAGCAGUCUCAAUUUGAUCUUAGUGUUGAGAUAUGUUGAGAUAAGUACAUUUCCAGAUUUUGGAUAAGGCAGGGAAAGCGGAUCUAGCGUCGUCAAUGCGUCGGCCAACAUCAAAUUCCGUGUCACCGUCGACAUAAUCCACGCUUCUUAGAUAUUUAAAUUGAUCGACGCCUUCAACGCUCUGCCAAUUAAUCCAAAUAGACAGACCGAUCACCAAUCAAACUGAACAUCUUGGUUUUCUUGGUAUUUACCUUCAAUUCAACUCUACUCGCCUCUCUUUCCAAAUCUAGAACCAUCUGACCAAAGCCUAUGCACCGGUGAAAGAGUAAACAAAUAUAAUCAGUGUAGUCGGGUUGUUUCAGGAAAGACGUUAUAGGCCAUUGAACUCCUGCAAAUUCUCCGGAUAAGGCAGCAUGAAAACGUCAUCAAGAAAUAAUGUCGGUGACAAGUAACCAAGCAACCAACCCGCUUUCGACCUCAAAUUCAUCUGAGAUUUUACCUCGAUGCAAUACGUGAAGUUUUGCGAUAUCUUAUUCCCCCUGAUAAUAGCUAUCUGUUUCUCCGGGACGCAGAGACUGCAGUAGCAGCGAUAAAUAACUCUGCGGGAAGAUCUUCGAGCUCAGCGGCUUUACUUCAUUUGAGUGCAUUGCCGAAAUGAUUUUUCUGCUCUCUGGAGAUGCAAUCCGUAUCUCUAUGUUACCAUGACUCGCUAUUUCACUGGAUAUGAUACAGUUAAGAACCGUCGUCAAUGUUCUUUCAACCUCUUCAGCUACUCAUCAACGUAAACACUAAUGCGUCACGCAUACCAACCCUUCCAAAGGUGAAUAGAGCAUUUAAUCCUUUCCUCUUAUCGAUCGGCUUCCACGAUUCUGCAGUCAACCAGAUGUUAUGACGCCCUUUCGGGAGGUGGCCGACGACCUGAGUAACUCCCAAGAAAAGAGCAUGAUGGCGGCCCAAUGUUCAUCUAUAUUCUCAGGCGGGUUACUCAGAGUGUUUGCCGUCCCAUCAGCAAGCUAUCUUACUUCCAUUGUCGGAUGACAGCUGUAUUCUCUUGAAUCUUGCAGUCAGAAUUCUAAUCAGAUCAAAUGAAGGCGAUUUGCGGUAGCAGCUAGUAAUAAUCCGACAACGGAUUCGCGUCUGCAACCAUUUGGCUUUCCAGAGCACAAAAGCACAUUACCAUUGGUUUGGGAACAGGGAAGGCCGUACUCGUCAGAAUCCCACCAUCGUACUUCGCUUAGACCCAGAAUGUCCAGAUUAUAUCUUUGGAAUUCUCGAGUUGGAGAAAACCAGCAUCCUGGAACCUUCGAUACCAUUGACGAGAAAGGUGUGCACAUUUCAGAAACCAAUCGUAACUAUUAAGUCAGUCCCUAUCUGAGAUUUUGUUGACGUUUUGCAGGGUACUAGCCCACAAAUUGCUGAACCUCUUAGCUGUCUUUUACGAUAAGUAGAAGAAGCUUUGAAUGUAUUUUGAAACCCCAACUCGCUGGGCUACGAAUUUUGGGUGCAUAACAAUUACUACGCAUAGAGCAAGACAAGCGAUCAUUCAUAUCUCUGCUGUUGAAAGAAUUACUGACAGCUUCGAAUUUUUAUCAAUUGGUCUAGCGCUUGUUUCUGAAGGUGAUAUCGCGGAGUUUCAUGCCAUUGGUCCAUUCACAGUACGUAGCCGAGCUACUACUUGAAAAACAAAAAAGGUUUUUUGGUAUAUCGAAAGCGCGAACCUGAACGCCAUUGUGAAUUCGCCUUUGCAGCUGCAUUGAAUGGCCGCGGAAACAGCUGAUGACCUGACAAGAGACUGGGGUGACAAAUGUCAAGAACGACAUUUGUCAAUCCUGAGAGUCGAAUAUUGUCGCCGGUCUGUAGGCAGCUGUAAUGUAAAAGCUAAAAAACUUAUUAAACUAAAAUACUUUUGAAUUUUGUUUUUAUUCAACUACUGUGGUUGUUGCGAUUAUUUAUAAAUAAAUUAGUUAAGUUAAUUAAAAACGCAUCUGUCAAUAUAUUGAUGAAACAGUUCCCAGUUUCAUGUUAAGGAUUAAUAACUUAACAUCCGCGUCAACGCGAAACGACCAUAGCAACGCCAGCCGUAUAAUUAACAGGAGCUUUUAGGCUACCGUGGGAUCAACACAAAAUGACGCUAUCAACAGCAAAAGUCGGCUC